RNAcentral lists this ribosomal RNA (308 nucleotides) under uncultured eukaryote. RNAcentral describes it as "partial large subunit ribosomal RNA". It matches the Rfam family "Eukaryotic large subunit ribosomal RNA", at positions 40 to 350 of the family's 3401-position model. The record is from RNAcentral.
AUAUCAAUAAGCGGAGGAAAAGAAACCAAUAGGGAUUGCCCUAGUAACGGCGAGUGAAGCGGCAGCAGCUCAGAUUUGAAAUCUGGCUUUCGGGCCCGAGUUGUAAUCUGGAGAGGAUGCUUUUGGCGCUGGUAGCACAGAGUCCUCUGGAAUGUGGCGCCAUAGAGGGUGAGAGCCCCGUAUUGUGACAUACUAAGCCUUUGUAUAGCUCCUUCGACGAGUCGAGUAGUUUGGGAUUUGCUACUCUAAGCGGGAGGUAAAUCUCUUCUAAAGCUAAAUAUUGGCCAGAGACCGAUAGCGCACAAGUA